GUAGGGUGUCUGAUGGUCAAGGAUGAGAAGGUGAAGUAAAGGAUUCCGUCAAGGAAGAGAGUCUGUAGAGCCUGAGAUCAUCUUAGAGGACACAGUUUCCCCUGCUCUUUAGAAUCAGAGUGGUAUUGGGUAGGGAGAUCAGGCCAAAAUACUUCUACUUCAAUGAAACCUUGCACCAGCCAAUGCUACAAAAGAAUGUGAAAGAUCUGUGAACCAACUAAAAAGAAAAUAUGGAGAGAAACAUUGC
Molecule: long non-coding RNA, 247 nt
Organism: Melospiza melodia melodia
Lineage: Eukaryota; Metazoa; Chordata; Aves; Passeriformes; Passerellidae
Exons: 3
Source: RefSeq, a predicted model, not a curated record